This 497-nucleotide ribosomal RNA is filed under the name uncultured bacterium. RNAcentral describes it as "partial 16S ribosomal RNA". It matches the Rfam family "Bacterial small subunit ribosomal RNA", at positions 28 to 507 of the family's 1533-position model. The record is from RNAcentral.
GGCGAACGCUGGCGGCGUGCCUAAUACAUGCAAGUCGAGCGGACAGACGGGAGCUUGCUCCCUGAUGUUAGCGGCGGACGGGUGAGUAACACGUGGGUAACCUGCCUGUAAGACUGGGAUAACUCCGGGAAACCGGGGCUAAUACCGGAUGGUUGUCUGAACCGCAUGGUUCAGACAUAAAAGGUGGCUUCGGCUACCACUUACAGAUGGACCCGCGGCGCAUUAGCUAGUUGGUGAGGUAACGGCUCACCAAGGCAACGAUGCGUAGCCGACCUGAGAGGGUGAUCGGCCACACUGGGACUGAGACACGGCCCAGACUCCUACGGGAGGCAGCAGUAGGGAAUCUUACGCAAUGGACGAAAGUCUGACGGAGCAACGCCGCGGGAGUGAUGAAGGUUUUCGGAUCGUAAAGCUCUGUUGUUAGGGAAGAACAAGUGCCGUUCAAAUAGGGCGGCACCUUGACGGUACCUAAACAGAAAGCCACGGCUAACUACGUG